UAAUAUCUAAUUUGAGGCAGCUAACUCAGUUGGUUGGGGGCCAAAGUUGCCAGUUAGAUCCCGGACCAGGUGGGUUAACUUUGCUGUCAGGACCCCAGCCAGUACCCCUAAUCCUGGACAGGCUCGUCAGAGAUACGUAGAACACCACAACUCAGUGAGAUUCUAUUGAUGUCUCAGUGAAACUCCUUUUCCUUUUUGAAGAGCUGUUAACAGUACCCUUUAAAAAAAUAAAUAUUUUCUUUCUCUUUGUAAAAAUACAUUCUCAUUAUGGGAAACUUGGCAAGCAUGCUACAAUAUAGAUGAGAAUAAAAAAUGUCAGAAUACAGAGUAAACUUGUUGACUUUUUCAUAAUUUUCCCCCUUCUGUGAGUACUUGUGGUGGUUUAAAACAGGUCCACAAAUUCUUUGACAAUUCUUCCAUCAAGAGGUGGAGUCCAUGCCUCUCCCCUAGAACCUGGGCAGGCCACUGUGUCUGCCUCGAUGAAUAUAAUGCUAAAUAAGAAGUGACAGGCUAGGUUAGAAAAGACCAUGCCACUUUUGCUAGUUUCUCUUGGAACACUUUGCUCUGGGAGCCUUCAGCUUCUAUGUAAGAACCCCAGCUACCCUAAGGCCACCAUGUAGACAGACCAUGUGGAAAGAUCCAGUGAAAGACGGAGAUGCCUCCAAAGCCUGUUCCAGUGCUCAGGUGUUUGGGUCUUUCCAGUCCACAGGCAGACACAUGAGUGAAAAAGCUUUUGAGAUGAACCUUUUGACUGCUGUCACGAAAAAGACCC
Ceratotherium simum simum (southern white rhinoceros) is the source of this 772-nucleotide non-coding RNA. The record is from RefSeq and is a predicted model, not a curated record. NCBI's taxonomy places the organism in Eukaryota, Metazoa, Chordata, Mammalia, Perissodactyla, Rhinocerotidae.